AGAAGAUGUCAAGGGCGCACGGCGGAUGCCUUGGCACAGGAAGCCGAAGAAGGACGCGGCAAGCCGCGAUAGUCUGCGGGGAGGGGCAAACACCCUUCGAUCCGCAGGUUUCCGAAUGGGGGAACCCGGCAGGGGUCAUGCCCUGCUACCCCGAGCUGAAUCAAAUAGGCUCGGAGGAGGCAACCCGGGGAACUGAAACAUCUAAGUACCCGGAGGAACAGAAAUCAACCGAGAUUGCGCGAGUAGCGGCGAGCGAAAGCGCACCAGCCCAAACCCAUGCACGUGCAAGCUUGAGGGCGUUGCUGCAUGCGGUGUUGUGGGACCUUCCCCUCCCAGGGCCUCAGACCUGGGACGGAGUUACAAAGCGUCGCGGUAGCGGAACGGCAUGGAAAGGCCGGCCGCAGCGGGUAAGAGCCCCGUACGCGAAACCCCGACGCCUCCGAGGAAGGCACCCGAGUAGUGCCGGGCACGUGAAACCCGGUGCGAAUCAGGGGGGACCACCCUCCAAGGCUGAAUACUCUCCUGUGACCGAUAGCGAACCAGUACCGUGAGGGAAAGGUGAAAAGCACCCCGAGAGGGGAGUGAAACAGUACCUGAAACCGUGCGCCUACAAGCAGUCGGAGCACUCCUGCAGUGUGACGGCGUGCCUUUUGUAGAAUGAGCCAGCGAGUUGCGGUAAGCGGCGAGGUUAAGGUUGGAACCGAGCCGCAGUGAAAGCGAGCCUUUAAGAUGGCGACAGAGUCGCUUGCCGCAGACGCGAAGCCGGGUGAGCUAUCCAUGGGCAGGCUGAAGCGGGGGUAAGACCCCGUGGAGGGCCGAACCCACUUCGGUUGAAAACGGAGGGGAUGACCCGUGGAUAGGGGUGAAAGGCCAAUCAAACCCGGAGAUAUCUCGUUCUCCCCGAAAUAGCUUUAGGGCUAGCCUCGGUCGUUCAGUCGCGGAGGUAGAGCACUGGAUCUUCUAGGGGGCUUCACCGCCUACCGAAAAGAACCAAACUCCGAAUACCGCGACUUAAGAGACCGGGAGUCAGAGCAUGUGGGCUAAGCUGCGUGCUCGAGAGGGAAACAGCCCAGACCGCCCGCUAAGGUCCCCAAGUUCGUGCUGAGUGGCAAAGGAUGUGCGUUUGCCUAGACAACCAGGAUGUUGGCUUAGAAGCAGCCAUGCAUUUAAAGAGUGCGUAACAGCUCACUGGUCAAGUGGACAUGCGCCGACAAUUCACGGGGCUAAGCAUAACACCGAAGCGGCGGACUAAUCUAUAUUAGUGGUAGGGGAGCUUUCCCCGCAGCGGAGAAGCCGAGAGGGCGACCCUCGGUGGAGCGCGGGGAAGUGAGAAUGCUGGCAUGAGUAACGAGAGCGGCGCGAGAAACGCCGCCGCCGUAAGCCUAAGGGUUCCUGGGCAAGGCUAAUCCUCCCAGGGUCAGUCGGGAGCUAAGGCGAGGCCGAGAGGCGUAGCCGAUGCGCAACAGGCGGACAUUCCUGUACCGCCUGCGGACCGCUAUCACCGACGGGGUGACGGAGAAGGGUAGCCGAGCGGGGUUCUGGACGUCCCCGUGAAAGCGCGUAGGGAGCAUCGCAUGGAAAUCAGCGGCGCAUAUAUCCUGAGACGCGAGACGAAAGCUUAUGCUGAAGUCGGCGAGCCCAUGCUUCCGAGAAAAACCUCUAGGAAGGGACGCAGGCGCCCGUACCAAAACCGACACAGGUGGGCAGGUAGAGCAUACCGAGGCGAUCGGGAGAACCAUGGUUAAGGAACUCGGCAUACUGACUCCGUAACUUCGGGAGAAGGAGUGCCCCUGGCGGUGACGGGACUUGCUCCCCGAGCGGCCGGGGGUCGCAGCGAAACGGCCCAAGCGACUGUUUAUCAAAAACACAGGACUCUGCAAAGCCGUAAGGCGACGUAUAGGGUCUGACGCCUGCCCGGUGCUGGAAGGUUACGCGGAUGGGUCAGCCGCAAGGCGAAGCUCUGAAGCCAAGCCCCAGUAAACGGCGGCCGUAACUAUAACGGUCCUAAGGUAGCGAAAUUCCUUGUCGGGUAAGUUCCGACCUGCACGAAUGGCGUAACGAUUUGGGCGCUGUCUCAACCAU
RNAcentral lists this ribosomal RNA (2082 nucleotides) under human gut metagenome. Its description in RNAcentral is "bacterial LSU rRNA". It matches the Rfam family "Bacterial large subunit ribosomal RNA", at positions 1 to 2028 of the family's 2925-position model. The record is from RNAcentral.